GAUGAACGCUGGCGGCGUGCCUAAUACAUGCCAGUCGAGCGAACAGACGAGGAGCUUGCUCCUCUGACGUUAGCGGCGGACGGGUGAGUAACACGUGGAUAACCUACCUAUAAGACUGGGAUAACUUCGGGAAACCGGAGCUAAUACCGGAUAAUAUAUUGAACCGCAUGGUUCAAUAGUGAAAGACGGUUUUGCUGUCACUUAUAGAUGGAUCCGCGCCGCAUUAGCUAGUUGGUAAGGUAACGGCUUACCAAGGCGACGAUGCGUAGCCGACCUGAGAGGGUGAUCGGCCACACUGGAACUGAGACACGGUCCAGACUCCUACGGGAGGCAGCAGUAGGGAAUCUUCCGCAAUGGGCGAAAGCCUGACGGAGCAACGCCGCGUGAGUGAUGAAGGUCUUCGGAUCGUAAAACUCUGUUAUUAGGAAAGAACAAAUGUGUAAGUAACUAUGCACGUCUUGACGGUACCUAAUCAGAAAGCCACGGCUAACUACGUG
Molecule: ribosomal RNA, 497 nt
Filed under: uncultured bacterium
Lineage: Bacteria
Description: partial 16S ribosomal RNA
Rfam family: Bacterial small subunit ribosomal RNA
Source: RNAcentral